GUUCGGCCAGAACUAAUGUUCGAAACAAAAUGAAUUGUUUUAAGUUCGUGACAAAGAAUAUUUCAUCAGAAUUUCUACGACGGCUUUUGAACUCGUAGCGUUAUAUGCAAAUGACAAAGUACCAAAAGACCAGGCGAGCAAAAGAAUUAUGCCACAGGACUGAACGGUGAACAAGUUAGCAAGACUGGGGGCACGAGUCGAGAGAGCGCUUUGACACGUGGUGAUAUUAUUUAUAGGAAACGGUAGUGGCUCCGUAUAGUUGGCAGGCAAAUAAAACUAUCUUGAUUUUUUAUCAAUGCAGUCAUUUGGGAAUUGUUUGGACAAGUUUAGGAAUGUAGUUUUAUAGUUUAGGAAAUGAUACUGUAUUCGUUAUUAAUAAAAAUCUAUCGAGCAUGUAGUUAGCAGGUAUAAUUGAAACAAAAAAAAAAUGUUGUCCACAUUUAAGUCGAAAUCGUUUGGGAAACACGCCUGUGAUAAACUCAACGUUUUGAAAAUUUUAUUGUAUUACAUAAUAUAAAAACAUUAAUUUACCAUCAGAUAAUUCACGAGAAAUACACGCGUUAUCGAAUGCGUGUGCAUUUUCAUACUCUAUCGACUGUACUCACUGUACCGAUUGAAUUAUGGAACCUUAUUUCCAAUUCCGGUUAUUUCUAUUACGUCCAACCAUUUUGGAGGAUUGGAGCUGAUUGAAGCUUUAGGAAAUGAUAUUGUUGCACAUACAGUAAAGUGAAAUGUCAAAUAAAAUUAUUUUCAUCCGUUUAUUACCUGUAAACAGGUAGGGUAGACCGAGGCGAAUCGGAUCAAUUUUUUUUAGGAAUAUGAAAAUCAUACUAAAGUGAAAUAUAUGUAACUUUUAUUGACACAAUGGUAAUCGGUACAAUUCAGCUACGCAAUAAACAUUUUAAAACUUAAA
Molecule: long non-coding RNA, 913 nt
Filed under: Neodiprion pinetum (white pine sawfly)
Lineage: Eukaryota; Metazoa; Arthropoda; Insecta; Hymenoptera; Diprionidae
Description: uncharacterized LOC124214530
Source: RNAcentral